This 464-nucleotide ribosomal RNA is filed under the name uncultured bacterium. RNAcentral's name for it is "partial 16S ribosomal RNA". It matches the Rfam family "Bacterial small subunit ribosomal RNA", at positions 339 to 795 of the family's 1533-position model. The record is from RNAcentral.
CUACGGGUGGCUGCAGUGGGGAAUAUUGCACAAUGGGGGAAACCCUGAUGCAGCCAUGCCGCGUGUGUGAAGAAGGCUUUCGGGUUGUAAAGCACUUUCAGCGAGGAGGAAAGGGUGCAAGUUAAUACCUUGUAUCUGUGACGUUACUCGCAGAAGAAGCACCGGCUAACUCCGUGCCAGCAGCCGCGGUAAUACGGAGGGUGCGAGCGUUAAUCGGAAUUACUGGGCGUAAAGCGCGCGUAGGCGGUUAAUUAAGUCAGAUGUGAAAGCCCAGGGCUCAACCUUGGAACUGCAUUUGAAACUGGUUAACUAGAGUUUUGUAGAGGGUGGUAGAAUUUCAGGUGUAGCGGUGAAAUGCGUAGAGAUCUGAAGGAAUACCAGUGGCGAAGGCGGCCACCUGGACAAAGACUGACGCUGAGGCGCGAAGGCGUGGGGAGCAAACGGGAUUAGAUACCCGGGUAGUC